This 253-nucleotide ribosomal RNA is filed under the name uncultured bacterium. RNAcentral describes it as "partial 16S ribosomal RNA". It matches the Rfam family "Bacterial small subunit ribosomal RNA", at positions 524 to 776 of the family's 1533-position model. The record is from RNAcentral.
GACAGAGGUGCCGAGCGUUAGGCGGAAUCACUGGGCUUAAAGCGUGUGUAGGCGGACUUCUAAGUACCUUGUGAAAUCCCACGGCUCAACCGUGGAACUGCUCGGUAUACUGGUUGUCUUGAGCCACUUAGGGGCAGUCGGAACAGACGGUGGAGCGGUGAAAUGCGUAGAUAUCGAGAGGAACACCUGCGGCGAAGGCGGGUUGCUGGGCUGAUACUGACGCUGAGGCGCGAAAGCCAGGGGAGCAAACGGG